This 467-nucleotide ribosomal RNA is filed under the name Ctenophorus fordi. RNAcentral describes it as "partial 16S large subunit ribosomal RNA". It matches the Rfam family "Bacterial large subunit ribosomal RNA", at positions 1839 to 2575 of the family's 2925-position model. The record is from RNAcentral. Lineage: Eukaryota; Metazoa; Chordata; Lepidosauria; Squamata; Agamidae.
CCAAGUAUUAAAGGUAAUGCCUGCCCAGUGAGGAGACUCCCCCCUUAAACGGCCGCGGUAAUUCGUGCGAAGGUAGCGCAAUCACUUGUCCUUUAAAUAAGGACCCGUAUGAAUGGCCACAUGAGAAAGAAACUGUCUCUUUGGGCUAGUUAAUGAAACUGAUCCCCCUGUACAAAAGCAGGAAUGAUAAAGCAAGACAAAAAGACCCUGUGAAACUUUAAACUAACUGUCAACCCGUGACAGAAACUUUUAGUUGGGGCAACUACAGAGAAACAAAACCUCUUACCACCACCAAGACCAACAAGUCAAAGUGAACAACCACACAGACCCAGUACCACUGACCAAAGAACCAAGCUACUCCAGGGAUAACAGCGCCACAUUCUUGAAGAGUCCAUAUCAACAAGAAUACCUACGACCUCGAUGUUGGAUCAGGAUAACCUGAUGGUGCAGAAGCUAUCAAAGGUUCG